AGUCGUGUGGUCUAAUGGUUAUGAUAUCUCGUUCACAGAAACUGAACACCCCUUGAUCCGAGAUGGUUCUGAGUUCGAUCCUCAGCACGACUA
Non-coding RNA from Xylogone sp. PMI_703, 93 nucleotides. The record is from the annotation of a GenBank genome assembly. NCBI's taxonomy places the organism in Eukaryota, Fungi, Ascomycota, Leotiomycetes.